RNAcentral lists this ribosomal RNA (468 nucleotides) under uncultured bacterium. RNAcentral describes it as "partial 16S ribosomal RNA". It matches the Rfam family "Bacterial small subunit ribosomal RNA", at positions 28 to 507 of the family's 1533-position model. The record is from RNAcentral.
GACGAACGCUGGCGGCGUGCUUAACACAUGCAAGUCGAACGGAAAGGCCCUGCUUUUGUGGGGUGCUCGAGUGGCGAACGGGUGAGUAACACGUGAGUAACCUGUCCUUGACUUUGGGAUAACUUCAGGAAACUGGGGCUAAUCCCGGAUAGGAGCUCCUGCUGCUUGGUGGGGGUUGGAAAGUUUCGGCGGUUGGGGAUGGACUCGCGGCUUAUCAGCUUGUUGGUGGGGUAGUGGCUUACCAAGGCUUUGACAGGUAGCCGGCCUGAGAGGAUAACCGGCCACAUUGGGACGGAGAUGCGGCCCAGACUCCUACGGGAGGCAGCAGUGGGGAAUAUUACACAAGGGGCGGAAGCCUGGUGCAGUAACGCCGCGUGCGGGAUGACGGCCUGCGGGUUGUAAACCGCUUUCGCCUGUGACGAAGCGAGAGUGACGGUAAUGGGUAAAGAAGCACCGGCUAACUACGUG